This 368-nucleotide long non-coding RNA is filed under the name Phaseolus vulgaris (common bean). RNAcentral describes it as "long non-coding RNA (PVUL_LNC005059)". Lineage: Eukaryota; Viridiplantae; Streptophyta; Magnoliopsida; Fabales; Fabaceae. The record is from RNAcentral.
CCUCUGCAAAAUUGAAUGUAUGGUACUGCCAAAAUUUAGCAGACAGCUAACAAUAAAUGAAAUUUUCACAGAGAAGAGCAGAAAAUGCCGUAAGGAUUCCCAGAGGGGUUAGAGAUUUUGGUAAGGUUGUUGCUGGCUUUUGGGGAAUGUUUAGAGAAUCUGGAACAAAUGAAUAAUGAUUUGUGGUUACUUGUCUGUUAUUGUGCAGGAUAAAUAUUUAAGUUGUACUUGUUAGCUUGUAAAGAUGUUCAAUUCAACUCUGAAUCGAUUAUCAUAUUCAUAUUAUAUAAAUAUAUCAAAUUGUUACAUACAUAUCAAGGUCAUGUGACAUGGAACUAUGUUAUGGUUCCAUAAGGAGUAAUGCUUUC